CGGAAGAAGCAUUGUUAAGGAAUUCGGCAAAAUGACCCCGUAACUUCGGGAGAAGGGGUGCCUGCGAGAGCAGGCCGCAGAGAAUAGGCUCAAGCAACUGUUUAGCAAAAACACAGGUCUAUGCGAAACCGAAAGGUGAAGUAUAUGGGCUGACGCCUGCCCGGUGCUGGAAGGUUAAGAGGAGAGGUUAGCGAAAGCGAAGCUUUGAAUUUAAGCCCCAGUAAACGGCGGCCGUAACUAUAACGGUCCUAAGGUAGCGAAAUUCCUUGUCGGGUAAGUUCCGACCCGCACGAAAGGCGUAAUGAUUUGAGCACUGUCUCGACAAUGCAUCCGGUGAAAUUGAAGUACCAGUGAAGAUGCUGGUUACCCGCGCCAGGACGGAAAGACCCCAUGGAGCUUUACUCCAGUUUGAUACUGGGAUUCGGUACUGCAUGUACAGGAUAGGUGGGAGACGAAGAAGGAUGGACGCCAGUCUGUCCGGAGUCGCUGUUGGGAUACCACCCCUGUAGUACUGGGUUUCUAACCAGUUGCCAUGAACUGGCAAUGGGACAAUGUCAGGCGGGGAGUUUGACUGGGGCGGUCGCCUCCGAAAGGGUAUCGGAGGCGCUCAAAGGUUCCCUCAGAAUGGUUGGAAACCAUUUGAAGAGUGCAAAGGCAGAAGGGAGCUUGACUGCGACACCGACGGGUGGAGCAGGUACGAAAGUAGGACUUAGUGAUCCGGUGGUAUAAAGUGGGAUUGCCAUCGCUCAACGGAUAAAAGCUACCCUGGGGAUAACAGGCUUAUCACUCCCAAGAGUUCACAUCGACGGAGUGGUUUGGCACCUCGAUGUCGGCUCAUCGCAUCCUGGGGCUGUAGCAGGUCCCAAGGGUUGGGCUGUUCGCCCAUUAAAGCGGUACGCGAGCUGGGUUCAGAACGUCGUGAGACAGUUCGGUCCCUAUCCGGCGCGGGCGGAGGAUAUUUGAGAGGAGCUGUCCUUAGUACGAGAGGACCGGGAUGGACGGACCACUGGUGUAUCUGUUGUCGACCAACGGCAUGGCAGAGUAGCCAAGUCUGGAAGGGAUAAACGCUGAAGGCAUCUAAGCGUGAAGCCCCCCUCAAGAUGAGAUAUCCCUCCUUCGGGAGUAAGACCCCUUGAAGACUACAAGGUAGAUAGGGCAGAGGUGGAAGCAUGGCAACAUGUGGAGCUGACUGUUACUAAUAGGUCGAGGGCUUAAUCUG
This 1219-nucleotide ribosomal RNA is filed under the name human gut metagenome. RNAcentral describes it as "bacterial LSU rRNA". It matches the Rfam family "Bacterial large subunit ribosomal RNA", at positions 1691 to 2925 of the family's 2925-position model. The record is from RNAcentral.